AGUCAUUGGGUGGAAAACCUAAAGGCGCAAUGAAAGUGCCUGGGGGCGCCUCAGGCGUCCCCGGCGGGAGGAUGGGCCCACCGGCCCCCCGGCCGGAGCCCCGCACUCCCGGGGCGUCUCAUUCUCUCUAAGAGUCGAGACGCACCAGGAGCGCACACGCUGUUACCCGAAAGAUGGUGAACUAUGCCUGGCCAGGACGAAGCCAGGGGAAACCCUGGUGGAGGUCCGAAGCGAUUCUGACGUGCAAAUCGAUCGUCUGAGCUGGGUAUAGGGGCGAAAGACCAAUCGAACCAUCUAGUAGCUGGUUCCCUCUGAAGUUUCCCUCAGGAUAGCUGGCUCUCGGGAAGAGACGAGUCUCAUCCGGUAGAGCGAAUGAUUAGAGGUGAUGGGGUCGAAACGACUUCAACCUAUUCUCAAACUCCCAAUAGAUGAGAGCCCCGGCUUGCUUGAAAGUGAAGCCGCGGGAAUCGGAUCGGAGAGGCCAAGUGGGCCAAUUUUG
RNAcentral lists this ribosomal RNA (499 nucleotides) under Caenocoris nerii. Its description in RNAcentral is "eukaryotic LSU rRNA". It matches the Rfam family "Eukaryotic large subunit ribosomal RNA", at positions 689 to 1139 of the family's 3401-position model. The record is from RNAcentral. Lineage: Eukaryota; Metazoa; Arthropoda; Insecta; Hemiptera; Lygaeidae.